Cydia pomonella (codling moth) is the source of this 4781-nucleotide RNA transcript. It is a transcript of the gene named chromatin assembly factor 1 p55 subunit, with no coding region annotated. The record is from RefSeq and is a predicted model, not a curated record. NCBI's taxonomy places the organism in Eukaryota, Metazoa, Arthropoda, Insecta, Lepidoptera, Tortricidae. The transcript is spliced from 10 exons.
GCGCUUCCGGUCAUGCUAAUUAUUGUUGAAUAUUUGCUUCGUCCAAAUGAUUAUCAUUUGUAAAAUAUGUACGAAAAUAAAAUGAACAGUAUUUUUUAUUUUGUUAUUUAUUCUUGAACGUUGUAAUUUUAAAAUAACAAAGCAAUCAUUUUUUUGCUUCUGCCUCCUGACUCCGGAAGUUUGUGUGCUGUCUUCCGAACAGAACAACGCCAAGGAUUGUUGUUUGGCGCCUUUGCGAGGCCGGUAUUUUUUGAUAAAUUGCGUUAAAAUCGUAGCUGGAAGUUAAAAGUGAAAAAUUGAAGACCAAAAUCGUAAAAUGGGAGAUAAAGGCGACGGAGAAACGUUCGACGAUGCGGUGGAGGAGCGCGUCAUCAACGAGGAGUACAAGAUUUGGAAGAAGAACACACCGUUCCUGUACGACCUGGUGAUGACACACGCUCUGGAGUGGCCGUCGCUGACCGCGCAGUGGUUGCCGGACGUGACCCGGCCGGAGGGCAAAGACUACUCGGUGCACAGAUUAAUCCUUGGUACACACACAUCAGAUGAACAGAACCAUCUCCUCAUAGCAAGUGUUCAGCUCCCUAAUGAAGACGCACAAUUUGACGCCAGCCACUAUGAUAAUGAUAAAGGAGAAUUUGGAGGCUUUGGUUCAGUAUCAGGUAAAAUAGACAUAGAAAUCAAGAUCAACCAUGAGGGUGAGGUGAACAGGGCACGCUACAUGCCCCAGAAUCCCUGUGUGAUUGCCACCAAGACCCCAUCUUCUGAUGUGCUGGUGUUUGACUACACAAAGCACCCCUCCAAGCCUGAGCCUUCAGGAGAAUGCCAUCCAGACCUUAGAUUGCGUGGGCACCAAAAAGAAGGUUACGGAUUGUCAUGGAACCCUAUACUAAAUGGAUAUCUUCUGUCUGCUAGCGACGACCACACGAUCUGCCUGUGGGACAUCAACGCGACGCCGAAGGAGGGCCGCGUGAUCGAGGCCAAGUCGGUGUUCACGGGGCACACGGCCGUGGUGGAGGACGUGGCGUGGCACUUGCUGCACGAGUCGCUCUUCGGCUCCGUCGCCGACGACCAGAAACUCAUGAUUUGGGACACCAGGUUAUUAUCCAACAACACGUCGAAGCCCUCGCACACGGUGGACGCGCACACGGCCGAGGUGAACUGCCUGAGCUUCAACCCCUACUCCGAGUUCAUCCUGGCCACCGGCAGCGCUGACAAAACGGUGGCGUUGUGGGAUCUUCGUAACCUGAAACUCAAGCUGCACUCGUUCGAGUCGCACAAGGACGAGAUCUUCCAGGUGCAGUGGUCGCCGCACAACGAGACCAUUCUCGCCUCCAGCGGCACCGAUCGCAGACUGCACGUAUGGGACCUGUCGAAGAUCGGCGAGGAGCAGACGGCGGACGACGCGGAGGACGGGCCGCCCGAGCUGCUGUUCAUCCACGGCGGACACACCGCCAAGAUCUCCGACUUCUCCUGGAACCCCAACGAGCCCUGGGUCAUCUGCUCCGUGUCCGAAGACAACAUCAUGCAGGUAAGAUGCUGUUCAUCCACGGCGGACACACCGCCAAGAUCUCCGACUUCUCCUGGAACCCCAACGAGCCCUGGGUCAUCUGCUCCGUGUCCGAAGACAACAUCAUGCAGGUAAGAUGCUGUUCAUCCACGGCGGACACACCGCCAAGAUCUCCGACUUCUCCUGGAACCCCAACGAGCCCUGGGUCAUCUGCUCCGUGUCCGAAGACAACAUCAUGCAGGUAUGGCAGAUGGCGGAGAACAUCUACAACGACGAGGAGCCCGAGACGCCCGCCUCCGAGCUCGAGUCCGGCGUCAACGUCAACCACGGAUAAACAUUUACACGUUACACUAGUCGCGAUGUGGACCUUAGCGCAACGAGAUAAGGUACAUUUUUGGUUUCAAUGUGUCUUCUCUGCGGCGCGACUUUGUGAACCUGCUGGACCACUCAAACUGUCAUUUGUUAAUAGAAAAUUGAGUGUCGCACUGACUGCCAUCAACGGUAUGCGUAGUCGAAUAUGCCCAGGGGCAUGUUGCAUAAACAUUUCCAAUUCAUAAUAUAAGAAAAAUUCUGUAAUUCUAUAAGUUGGAAAUUGUAAUGGAUGUGCCAAUGCCUCUGUUCAUUUGUAUAAGUAUGGAGGAGAUAUAAGUGUGAGACUGAUGGAAGUAUAAUUUUGGAUAAGAAAGUUGGUAAAAUAUUCGACCAGCGGCACGUCAGUUAUCAUCAAUUAUGCCAAGUUGUUCUGUUGAUACUGAAAGUUUAAUUGACUUGCGUGUUUCAAUAAAAUUAUUUAUUAUUGAGACGAGCAAGCUAGUCGUUCACAACGUCGUGCUAGCAGACUUAAAGUCCGCAACACACUUCGCUAUUGUGCGAUAAUAUGACUGCCUCACUUUUGUUUACGAUAUUAACAAGAGAGACGAAUAUGUUGUCAAAUAAGGCAAAGUGUGUGAAAAUAAAUUGAAUGUUUCAACACAAAAUGUUUUGCAAUACGCGUAAUGUCAGAUGUAGUUAUCUUUAAAAUGAGAUGUUAGUGUAUUAAAGAUGAGAAAAACAAUUUUGUUGUGUGUAACGUUGUAAUUAUUUAUUUAUAUUCAAUUGUGCGUCGGGACUCAGGCUAUAAAGUACAUUUUAUGUGGCUGAAACAAAAGGAAUCUUAAAAUUUUCAAUGCUAAGGUUGACUAGCCGUCGCGAGUGGCCAAUGCUCACAGUGUAUACCAAGAAUGACUGCAGGCAUCCCUGGCAGUGUGGUCCCUGACAGUUUAACAUAAUAUGUGAAAAUAGGGGGUAUUACUGCAAUGUUCUGCCGCCAGAGAGCUGCACUAUCACAUAUUGUAAAACAUAGAUUAACUUAUAACUAAUAACUAUACCUUAAACAGUUUCUUGACAAGUAAUAUCGAUAUGUAUAAAUAAAUUUCAUGAUCUGCAAGAGUAUUCGAGCGAUAGAGAGGCAGAUAACGAAAUUUCGAUUUUAGUGUUUCGCGGUAGGCCCUCAGAUUGUGCUAGUAGCUCCCUCUACACAGAGUUUUCAAUUCACUUUUCUUUAAUAAUUCAAAAGCACGAAUUAGCGCCAUGCCUCUCGUGUACGACGCGUCAUUGUGAACCUUGACGCUGCACGGCGGUAGGUUGAGCUGGGCGCGCGCGUCUUGACGGCCUUGGCGGUCAUAGGGUUAAAAUAAUUAACAUUGUUCUUACAUUUAAUCCAAAUGAAGUAAAUUUCUCUCGAUUCCUUUUGGAUUAGUCAUAUACAAACUAUUCCAAAUUAAAAAUUUCAAAAAUACUAGUAAGUGUUUAGGUAGUUAAUAUUAGGAAUGGUUUGCAAGUUGGUUGUGUUGGUAUCAGUUCAGUCAAAAAGUGAACGAAAUGUAAUUGUGAAUGCUAAAAAGAAUAAUUGAAAAUAAAUUUUAACUGUCUUAGCUAGAAAGUUCUAAAUGGACUAAGAUGUAAAGCAGUGUAACUGCUUCAUAUUUCACAUAUUAAGCGUGUUUUGUUUUUUUUUUCAUUGCGCGUCUUUAGUUUUUGUGAAAUAUAGCUAUUUUUUCUGGACAGUAUUUGGACUCUACCCGGAGAAUAAUGUAAACUGUUAGAUUACCUUUUCCUUAUUGUUCCUGAUAGAGAUCACCAAAGCAUAAAUGGGUCAACAACCUAAGUACUGCCUCUGAUGUAUGUAAAAUAGACUUGUUUGUACUUGGGUUGCCAUUCUGUAAUUUUACUAAAUUUCAUGACCAGCUUUGUAAAGAAUAUUUACAUAGUCCAGGGGCAGUCUUAAGUUAUUUACAUAUAUUAUUUUGACAUAGUUUCGGGAUCAUAAUUAAAAUUUGACAAAGAUUUGUAAUUUGAGAUUUUCAAUGCAAUGAAAGUCCAAAAACAAGAAACUUGCUCUUUAUGUAAGCUGCUGAGCUGUGCUCAUUUCAACAUAUUUCUUUUUUUUUUUCUAUAUAAUUUAACCCUUUGAACGCCACGCCUAUUGUGCGAGGCACUUCAUCGUGAACCUUAUCUGAAUACACGAACUUUAAUAUUGAACUGUAGCCGAGCGCGUCAACUGACGUCUUUGGUGGUCAAAGGGUUUAUUAUUGGGAAUAUAUAAUUAUGUUUCUACUUCUUAUUAAAGGAUGAAAACCAGUGUAUUGUGUUAAAAGGUCGUUAACAACAUCAAACAAUAUUCACAAUAUGUACACAUAGUCAACCUGCAAUAUUCCAUGUUAGCGUUAGUUUUAAUAGAAACAUCAUUGAAUAAUCUGGAAAAUGUGAGAAAAUUAUUUGAUUCAGAGGAAGGGUCCAAUUUCACGAAUCUAUAAUGUCUAAAAUUUAAUACUGUUGUUAAAUCUUGUAACUGAAGAAAACUAAACCACGAAGGCCUGAGGAGAAAGAAUUGUGUGACGAUUUCUACUUAUACUAUGUAUAAUCGUUUAAUUUCUCCGCUAUUAAAUCGGCACUAUAUUCCUUUCCGGACAGAGAUUACUAAGCCAAGCUUAGCCAGGCCCUCUAUAACACUAGUCACACAAUCGUUUUCUUCCUGGUCUUUUUCGUAAUAUACUAUCAGGGAAUAUAUUAUUAUAUAGGAGACACAAACGAAACCGUCGCCAUGAUACCGCGUCACGAAAUCUCAUUUUAUUUAUUAACUAAUCCGUUAGUCACGAGGAUUCCUUCAGAUUUGUAUUUCCUGUACAUUUCUCGGAUGACGCGACUGAAUGAGGGUAUUUUAUAAUGUUAAUGCAGUAAUGAAUGAUAAUUUUAAGUUCCGCUAUUAUUACGAAUAAAAGUAAGUAAUAUGCAA